Molecule: non-coding RNA, 54 nt
Filed under: Trypanosoma brucei brucei
Lineage: Eukaryota; Euglenozoa; Kinetoplastea; Trypanosomatida; Trypanosomatidae
Source: RNAcentral
AUAUAAAUUAAACAACAUAGAUUACAGCGAUAGAAGUGAAUGUGAAUUAUUAAU